GUAGAGAAGAGAAUGGAGUCAAAGAAACAUGCACAAGACAAGUCAUCAUCUCCACUGUUCCUACCAGCUCAAAGAGACGUCCGUGGCUCACUUGAAGUAUUCAACCCAUCAGCCAACGACACCACCGCACCAUUCCGACCACAGCCCACCUGGCGGAGCUGGGCGGAGUCGCCGCCACAGAACAACCCAGAAACGCCACCGUCGGAGGCAGUCAAUGUUAAUGUUGCUAGCCUUUCGACCUCUCAUUCCGGCAGAUUGCCAGCUGACGAGAUCAAGUCAUGGAUGGCCCUGAAAGAUCCUAACCCGUAUGAAGUUCCGCCGGUGACGUUGGCGCCAAAGUCACCGGCC
Molecule: long non-coding RNA, 348 nt
Filed under: Lactuca sativa (garden lettuce)
Lineage: Eukaryota; Viridiplantae; Streptophyta; Magnoliopsida; Asterales; Asteraceae
Description: long non-coding RNA (LSAT_LNC006044)
Source: RNAcentral